Molecule: ribosomal RNA, 778 nt
Filed under: uncultured Neocallimastigales
Lineage: Eukaryota; Fungi; Neocallimastigomycota; Neocallimastigomycetes; Neocallimastigales
Description: partial large subunit ribosomal RNA
Rfam family: Eukaryotic large subunit ribosomal RNA
Source: RNAcentral
AGAGAGAGACAUGCGCGCAUAUCAAUAAGCGGAGGAAAAGAAACUAACAAGGAUUCCCCUAGUAACGGCGAGUGAAGCGGGAAGAGCUCAAAUUUGAAGUCUUAAAGGGUUUCCCUUUACGAAUUGUAGUUUAAAGAAGUGUUUUCUGUUGAGGUUUUGGUAAAAGUUCUUUGGAAUAGGACAUCAUAGAGGGUGAGAAUCCCGUAUUUGACCAUUUACUUUCAGCUUUGUAAGACACUUUCAAAGAGUCGGAUUGUUUGGGAAUGCAGUCCAAAAUGGGUGGUAAAUUUCAUCUAAAGCUAAAUAUUGGCGAGAGACCGAUAGCGAACAAGUACCGUGAGGGAAAGAUGAAAAGAACUUUGAAAAGAGAGUUAAACAGUACGUGAAAUUGUCAAAAGGGAAGCGUUUGACACCAGUGUUGUUUUUCUGAAAAUCAAUUAAAGAACUGUUUAUGCUAAGUUGUUUAGACUUUAUCAGCUAAUCUGUUUAGUUUUGAGCUUUUCUUUAAUGCACUUUUCAGUUAACAAGUCAACAUCAAUUUCUUUUGCUGUAAAAAAGCUUGAGGAAGGUGGCUUGAGAUUCGUCUUAAGUGUUUAUAGCCUCUUGGCCUAUGCAAUCGGAGAGAUUGAGGUCUGCAGCGUAGAUCCUUCGGGGCUAGAUACAUUUGUGCUAAGUUAUAGCAUUUCAUAGACAACUUGUUGACUAUGAUUAGUCAUUGUAGCUUACUCGCUUAUGUUAUUUUACCUACGCUUAGGAUGUUGAUGUGAUACUGCGAGCA